UGGGGCAUGGUGCAAUUGGCAGCACACCGGACUUUGGAUCCGUGAAUCUUGGUUCGAGUCCAAGUGCCCCAGCCA
Molecule: transfer RNA, 75 nt
Filed under: Anaerolineales bacterium
Lineage: Bacteria; Bacillati; Chloroflexota; Anaerolineae; Anaerolineales
Description: tRNA-Gln
Rfam family: tRNA
About the family: Transfer RNA (tRNA) molecules are approximately 80 nucleotides in length. Their secondary structure includes four short double-helical elements and three loops (D, anti-codon, and T loops).
Source: RNAcentral